RNAcentral lists this ribosomal RNA (460 nucleotides) under uncultured bacterium. Its description in RNAcentral is "partial 16S ribosomal RNA". It matches the Rfam family "Bacterial small subunit ribosomal RNA", at positions 338 to 795 of the family's 1533-position model. The record is from RNAcentral.
CCUACGGGUGGCUGCAGUGAGGAAUAUUGGUCAAUGGGCGCGAGCCUGAACCAGCCGAGUAGCGUGCAGGAUGAAUGCCCUACGGGUCGUAAACUUCUUUUAUAAGGGAAUAAAGUGUGGCACGUGUGCCUUUUUGUAUGUACCUUAUGAAUAAGGAUCGGCUAACUCCGUGCCAGCAGCCGCGGUAAUACGGAGGAUCCGAGCGUUAUCCGGAUUUAUUGGGUUUAAAGGGAGCGUAGACGGGCUGUUAAGUCAGAUGUGAAAGUCUGUGGCUCAACCGUAGAAUUGCAGUUGAUACUGGCGGCCUUGAGUACAGUUGUGGCAGGCGGAAUACGUGGAGGAGGGGUGGAAAGCAUAGAUAUCACGGAGAACCCCGAUAGCGAAGGCAGCCUACCAAGCUGCGACUGACGCUGAUGCACGAAAGUGUGGGGAUCAAACAGGAUUAGAUACCCGGGUAGUC